This 465-nucleotide ribosomal RNA is filed under the name Vreelandella stevensii. RNAcentral describes it as "partial 16S ribosomal RNA". It matches the Rfam family "Bacterial small subunit ribosomal RNA", at positions 338 to 795 of the family's 1533-position model. The record is from RNAcentral. Lineage: Bacteria; Pseudomonadati; Pseudomonadota; Gammaproteobacteria; Oceanospirillales; Halomonadaceae.
CCUACGGGGGGCAGCAGUGGGGAAUAUUGGACAAUGGGCGAAAGCCUGAUCCAGCCAUGCCGCGUGUGUGAAGAAGGCCUUCGGGUUGUAAAGCACUUUCAGUGGGGAAGAAAGCCUUGGGGCUAAUACCCUCGAGGAAGGACAUCACCCACAGAAGAAGCACCGGCUAACUCCGUGCCAGCAGCCGCGGUAAUACGGAGGGUGCGAGCGUUAAUAGGAAUUACUGGGCGUAAAGCGCGCGUAGGCGGUCUGAUAAGCCGGUUGUGAAAGCCCCGGGCUCAACCUGGGAACGGCAUCCGGAACUGUCAGGCUAGAGUGCAGGAGAGGAAGGUAGAAUUCCCGGUGUAGCGGUGAAAUGCGUAGAGAUCGGGAGGAAUACCAGUGGCGAAGGCGGCCUUCUGGACUGACACUGACGCUGAGGUGCGAAAGCGUGGGUAGCAAACAGGAUUAGAUACCCCAGUAGUC